RNAcentral lists this transfer RNA (74 nucleotides) under Methanobacteriota archaeon. Its description in RNAcentral is "Euryarchaeota archaeon tRNA-Gly". It matches the Rfam family "tRNA". From Rfam's summary of the family: Transfer RNA (tRNA) molecules are approximately 80 nucleotides in length. Lineage: Archaea; Methanobacteriati; Methanobacteriota. RNAcentral also lists the same sequence under 2 other names. The record is from RNAcentral.
GCGGUGGUAGUAUAGCCUGGUAGUUACAUUGGCUUGCCAAGCCAAUAGCGCGGGUUCAAAUCCCGCCCACCGCA